UACGUAGGGCGCAAGCGUUGUCCGGAAUUAUUGGGCGUAAAGAGCUCGUAGGCGGUUUGUCGCGUCUGCUGUGAAAACCUAAGGCUCAACCUUGGGCUUGCAGUGGGUACGGGCAGACUAGAGUGCGGUAGGGGUGACUGGAAUUCCUGGUGUAGCGGUGGAAUGCGCAGAUAUCAGGAGGAACACCGGUGGCGAAGGCGGCGACCUGGGUAGAUACUGACGCUGAGGUGCGAAAGCGUGGGGAGCAAACAGG
This 253-nucleotide ribosomal RNA is filed under the name uncultured bacterium. Its description in RNAcentral is "partial 16S ribosomal RNA". It matches the Rfam family "Bacterial small subunit ribosomal RNA", at positions 524 to 776 of the family's 1533-position model. The record is from RNAcentral.